This 647-nucleotide long non-coding RNA is filed under the name Nicotiana tabacum (common tobacco). RNAcentral's name for it is "long non-coding RNA (NTAB_LNC008192)". Lineage: Eukaryota; Viridiplantae; Streptophyta; Magnoliopsida; Solanales; Solanaceae. The record is from RNAcentral.
UGCCAUCAAAAACUUUUUUCCUUAUGAUUUGAUUUAAUUUUGAGUUUUUCUUUUUUCAAUUUCUGAUGAGAAGGCUUGAAUUCAUGAAUUUCCCAGGUUAGUAUGAAUAAUCACUUGCAUGUUUACUUUUUGCCGUGAAGUAUACUCAAAAUAAUCAAUUAAAAAUUAUGGCUUAAAUCAUGAAACAACCUAUUUUAAUUUUAGUUCCCCUUCUAAAAUUCAAUUUCGACAAUGGUGUCAGGGAAGGUGCUACUGCUGGUAAAAGAAUCUCAUAAUUUUCAUAUGAUUUCUUUAUUUUUCUUUAACUUUUCCAAUUGUUUUAUGAAAUAUUUUAAAUUGUGGUGGUUAAGCAUCGUACUUUCUGUAGUAUUCUACAAAAUAGGCAGUAAAUGACUGCUUGGAUUUUGAGAAGUGAUAGUAAAAGUGAAAAGAAGAGGAGUGUACUGAUAGUUUUGGAGAGUUUCACCCGUAACAGUGACAGUGGGGAUAACGGUGCUGAUUGAAAAUUAUAACCAAAUGUGAUUUUGAUUAUGUAUUUGCAGACAAGAAGGAAGGGGUGGUGAUGUCCGAUGAUGGUGGGUAGAAGAUUGAGAAAAUGGAAGAGAGAUGACUUUUCUGGAUUUCUCUUUUUGGAAAAAAUGGGAUGG